UAGGGAAUCUUCGGCAAUGGACGGAAGUCUGACCGAGCAACGCCGCGUGAGUGAAGAAGGCUUUCGGAUCGUAAAGCUCUGUUGUUAGAGAAGAACGUUGGUAGGAGUGGAAAAUCUACCAAGUGACGGUAACUAACCAGAAAGGGACGGCUAACUACGUGCCAGCAGCCGCGGUAAUACGUAGGUCCCGAGCGUUGUUCGGAUUUAUUGGGCGUAAAGCGAGCGCGAGGGGUUCUUUAAGUCUGAAGUUAAAGGCAGUGGCUUAACCAUUGUACGGUUUGGAAACUGGAGGACUUGAGUGCAGAAGGGGAGAGUGGAAUUCCGUGUGUAACGGUGAAAUGCGUAGAUAUAUAGAGGAUCACCGGUUGCGAAGGCGGCUCUCUGGUCUGUAACUGUCGCUGAGGCUCGAAAGGGUGGGGAGCAAACAGG
RNAcentral lists this ribosomal RNA (429 nucleotides) under Bacillota bacterium. Its description in RNAcentral is "Firmicutes bacterium partial 16S ribosomal RNA". It matches the Rfam family "Bacterial small subunit ribosomal RNA", at positions 355 to 776 of the family's 1533-position model. The record is from RNAcentral. Lineage: Bacteria; Bacillati; Bacillota.